CCAGCCCCGAGAAGAGAUAAACUGGCACAGGAAAAACGAAGAAAUCCAGGAUUUCUGCACUGUUGGAUAGAAAACAGCUUUGUAUCGAAGUGCAAAUGCCUGUUUGAAAGCUCUUGUGCCAGAGAUAUUAGAAAUUGCUUUUGAUGAUCAACCAUCACCUGAGGACCAGGAAAGCUCUGUAGUUUAUCCACUUCAAUCAAACAAAAAUAGUCCCUACCCCAAAUAGUCUUAAUCAACUCAUCUGAGAACAUGCUAAUGAAUAUCCAUAUAGUUAAGAGGCACAACCAAAACAGAAGUGAUCCCGCUGCACAUCAUUUGUAAGCAAAGAAGUUGAACACAGUAAGUAUACUGGUAUUACCAACUGCCACGAUACCUUUGAACUCAAGGAAGUGGUGAAGUCUAAAUGAGUACACAAGCAAAUCCAGGGUCCAUCACUGAAAUAAAAUGUUUAGCUUGAACACUGCUCUCCCAGACUUUUCUGCAGCAGUUGAUAAGCAUAUAGUUUCAAUUUUUUAAAAUGACCAUCUGUUUCUUAGUUGAAAGAAAUGUUUGUUUACAUCAAAAGAAACACAACAUAUACAAGAAAACUCAUAAGUGUUUCAACUGCUUCAUGAAUCAAGAUUCCUCUCAACUUUCAAAUCUCAAUUGCCAUAGCUGUCAACAAACUAGUCACUGGUAUGAUUGUCAAUGCCCCCCUUCUACUCCUUCAAACACAACUGUUAGGCCAGACUUUUUAUUUAUAGCAGCUAUUCCUAACUAAGCAGCCUCCAGAAGGUUCAGAUUAUAUAGUUCCCAACAUUUUGAAUACCGGAUUGAGGAAGACCAGUCUAUUUUAUCUUAGUGACAUUUAGCAAUGGAUCAUGUUAAUAAGUACACUCCUCAAAAUUGUUUUAAGUGCAAAAUAUUGAUGAUGCAAUUGCAGGGGGAAACAUUUUAAGUUCUGGCCCAUCUAUUGAUUGGUACUGAUAGAGCUUUCCCAUAGUGCUUAACUCCAAAAAGCAAAAUAUAUGGUUGGAUACCAAACAACAAGUAGAUUUGAAUCAGAUCUUUAACAGAUGAACAGUAUGCAUUCAUGUGUGGAAGCAGUAACCAUGGCAAGAAAUUUCAUCAACUUUAGCUAUAUUAAUUCUCAAGAGCCUCAGCUAACAUGACUAUGGGAAGCCGGUAGUUACCUAUUACAAAGAACUGGAGGACCAAAGGAUUCCCAAUUAUAUAGAUGGGAUAUCUUUGAAUAGGCAUACAAAAGACUGCAGUGUGAACCAAUCUCUUAUUUUUACCCCAGUCUACUGGUAAAUACUGUCUGUCGAAUAUGAAGGAAAACUUAGAAAAAGGCAGAAAGGAAAAAAAGACUUUGGAAGUUUAUUCUUUGAUAAAUUUAAACUGAAAGUGAUGACUUUGCUACUAACAUUUUCCUAGAUGUACAAAAAUCUAUUCACAGGCAAGUCUGUGUAUACUCUAAGACAUUAAAUUAGAGCUACAUGUGAGUGACAUAGAAGAUGAAGUUUCUAUUCAAAGAGCAAAGUCCAAUAAUCAUUUUGGUAAAGCAAUAGCCUGUUCUGGUUAAUGAGUUCAAAGAUAGAGUCUUCCUCUAGAAAAUUACAAUACAGAUAACGCAUACAAUUACAAUACAAGAGGGGCUAAUUGUUAGUAACUAGCAUCUAAAACAGAAUUUUUAUAGUAAAAACACAUAGAAAUUAAAAUCAGUUGCAUUUUUUAAAACUGGAAAAAUGGAGUCGCUUCUUAAGCAUAAAAGUGGUAAUUCAUUUAAAAAAAAAA
Molecule: long non-coding RNA, 1776 nt
Organism: Crotalus tigris (Tiger rattlesnake)
Lineage: Eukaryota; Metazoa; Chordata; Lepidosauria; Squamata; Viperidae
Exons: 2
Source: RefSeq, a predicted model, not a curated record